GGGUGAGAACCGGCAGAGAUCACAGCAGUGGGUGGAUUGUGUUGUUUGAGCACUCCUAGGUAAUCGAUUCCUCCAUUUUCUUUUGAUGAGUUUCGAUUUGAGUUCUUAGGGACAUUUCUGCAUUCCGAGAUCUGAACUGUGAAAUCUAGCCCUUUUUUUAAAGGCUUUGCUCGAUAAAUCUCUUAUUUGGUCAAAUCACACUUUAUUUUUGUUUGAAUGCAGCUACGAAUUGAGCUCUGACAAACAUUUCAGCAAUUCCCAUACGUGGGUUUCCAUAUUUCUCUUCACUAUUUCCUGGUUUCCUUUGAGGCUCUGCUCCAUCAAUCUCUUUCACCGUCUUUGUAGGUGAUGACGGCAGCGGAGCCUAAAAGAUUCGAUAUGUGGGGCGUCUUCCUUUCUGUUUGAAUUUAGCUACAAAAUGAACUCUGACUGACAUUUCAGCAAUUCCCGAAUCUGGGAUUCCGUAUUUCUCUUUGUUUGCUGCUUUUCUUCGAGGCUCUGCUCCAUCGAUCUCUCCAUUUCCUUUAUAGGUGAUUACAAAGGCGGAGCCUAAAAGAUUCGAUAUGUGGGGACAUUCAGAAGAUCCCAAUUGCGGGGCUUCUUCCUCAUCGACUUCUACACCUGUAGGUGAUUAUGAAGGCAGAACCAAAAAGAUGAAAAGAAAUGACUACGAAGUGUUCUUGAGCUUUAGAGGGAAGGAUACUCG
This 706-nucleotide long non-coding RNA is filed under the name Eucalyptus grandis. RNAcentral's name for it is "long non-coding RNA (EGRA_LNC001422)". The record is from RNAcentral. Lineage: Eukaryota; Viridiplantae; Streptophyta; Magnoliopsida; Myrtales; Myrtaceae.